Toxorhynchites rutilus septentrionalis is the source of this 1081-nucleotide RNA transcript. RefSeq lists it as uncharacterized. NCBI's taxonomy places the organism in Eukaryota, Metazoa, Arthropoda, Insecta, Diptera, Culicidae. The transcript has 3 exons. The record is from RefSeq and is a predicted model, not a curated record.
CGUUUUGAGGGAAGUCACUUCAAAAUGCAAUUCGCGUCAUCGAAAGUGAAGGUUUCGCGUGUGAGUGAAAAAUAUGUAAACAAACCGUUGCAUAUUUUCUCUGUAAUUAAUAUACUGAUUUCUCGAAAACUUGUACCGUGUUUAUCUUACAAUUAGUGGAAAUUGUUGAAAAAUAGUUUUUCUUAGCUGUUUCGAUGCUCCGAACCAAAUUUUAUUGUCAUUUAGUAGUGAAAAAAAGCCGUUGAAGUACACCCUCUGUCAAUCUACCUGGGAGAGAGAACGUGUGAAAUAUGGACGUCAAAAGCUGCGCAAAUUGCCCGGAGAACAUGUAAGUCGGACGAAAUUUGCUUGAAGCUGACUCCGAACAAUCUGCAAAAUUCAAAAGCCGUAUUGUUUGUGUCGUCCCCGGAUGUAAGCAGAGAUAUCGCCCCGGAAUUUCUUUCGCUUCGAAAACGGACAAAUCGCGGUAUCUAGACUGGAUCCAACGUCUACGGCUAAAGAUAGAACCUACAAAAACCUCCCGUAUUUGUAGCCUCCAUUUCACCGUGUCGAACUUCUACUCUCCAACAACAAGCCGUGCCACUGAUCGCUUAAUUCUUAGGCCAUCAGCAGUUCCCGACUUGAAUUUGCCACAACCUCCCAUCAGCAAAGCCAGGAAAAGACUAAUUGAGGGCCGUGCUGAACGUGCUGCAAACCGUGCCAAAGUUGGGGCAGCGAUGGACCAGAGACAUGAUACACCAAACCUUUCAGAUCUUGCCAUCGAUGCUGAAUGUGCAGAUCAUCCCGAAGUCUGUGUUCCUACAGUAGAGAAAGCAGUUCAGGUAGACACUACGGAUUUGGAUAAACUUAAAGUCAAGCGUAUCUCAGCAAUCUCCAUUGGAAGCGAUGACGAUCUUGUAUCAUGGACUGGACUUAAAUCAAGAGAAAUGCUCGAAUCUAUUGUCAAAGCAGUGACUCUCGUGAAGCAGUAUCGUCAAAAGCCUAAAUAUACAGUGAAGCUAGAAGAGGAAAUACCGGAUUCCUGCACAAUAGACAUGUUAAGAAUAUAUUUUUUUAAAUAAAGGCCUUUACUAAAGUGUUU